Molecule: ribosomal RNA, 301 nt
Filed under: uncultured bacterium
Lineage: Bacteria
Description: partial 16S ribosomal RNA
Rfam family: Bacterial small subunit ribosomal RNA
Source: RNAcentral
CAGUCGCCGCGGGAAUACGUAGGGUGCAAGCGUUAAUCGGAAUUACUGGGCGUAAAGCGUGCGCAGGCGGUUAUAUAAGACAGAUGUGAAAUCCCCGGGCUCAACCUGGGAACUGCAUUUGUGACUGUAUAGCUAGAGUACGGCAGAGGGGGAUGGAAUUCCGCGUGUAGCAGUGAAAUGCGUAGAUAUGCGGAGGAACACCGAUGGCGAAGGCAAUCCCCUGGGCCUGUACUGACGCUCAUGCACGAAAGCGUGGGGAGCAAACAGGAUUAGAGACCCGUGUAGUCCCUGUCUCUUAUAC